Molecule: transfer RNA, 78 nt
Filed under: Candidatus Methanofastidiosia archaeon
Lineage: Archaea; Methanobacteriati; Methanobacteriota; Candidatus Methanofastidiosia
Description: tRNA-Asp
Rfam family: tRNA
About the family: Transfer RNA (tRNA) molecules are approximately 80 nucleotides in length. Their secondary structure includes four short double-helical elements and three loops (D, anti-codon, and T loops).
Source: RNAcentral
GCCCGGGUGGUGUAGUCCGGUCCAUCAUACAGGACUGUCACUCCUGUGACUCGGGUCCGAAUCCCGGCCCGGGCGCCA